Molecule: ribosomal RNA, 468 nt
Filed under: uncultured bacterium
Lineage: Bacteria
Description: partial 16S ribosomal RNA
Rfam family: Bacterial small subunit ribosomal RNA
Source: RNAcentral
GACGAACGCUGGCGGCGUGCUUAACACAUGCAAGUCGAACGGAAAGGCCCUGCUUUUGUGUGGUUCUCGAGUGGCGAAGGGGUGUGUAACACGGGAGUAACCUGCCCUUGACUUUAGGAUAACUUCAGGAAACUGGGGCUAAUACCGGAUAGGAGCUCCUGCUGCAUGGUGGGGGUUGGACAGUUUCGGCGGUGGGGGAUGGACUCGCGGGUUAUCAGCUUGUUGGUGGGGUAGUGGCUUACCAAGGCUUUGACGGGUAGCCGGCCUGAGAGGGUGACCGGCCACAUUGGGACUGAGAUACGGCCCAGACUCCUACGGGAGGCAGCAGUGGGGAAUAUUGCACAAUGGGCGGAAGCCUGAUGCAGCAACGCCGCGUGCGGGAUGACGGCCUUCGGGUUGUAAACCGCUUUCGCCUGUGACGAAGCGUGAGUGACGGUAAUGGGUAAAGAAGCACCGGCUAACUACGUG